UGUACUGUACAUGUCAUGUUGCACUCAUUAAGUUCUCAUCUGAGCAGAUUUCUGUCAUUCAAAC
Molecule: long non-coding RNA, 64 nt
Organism: Etheostoma spectabile (orangethroat darter)
Lineage: Eukaryota; Metazoa; Chordata; Actinopteri; Perciformes; Percidae
Exons: 3
Source: RefSeq, a predicted model, not a curated record